RNAcentral lists this long non-coding RNA (6987 nucleotides) under Lactuca sativa (garden lettuce). RNAcentral's name for it is "long non-coding RNA (LSAT_LNC004327)". The record is from RNAcentral. Lineage: Eukaryota; Viridiplantae; Streptophyta; Magnoliopsida; Asterales; Asteraceae.
GGAUACCUGUCUAACGUGAACCUGAGAAUACAAGCAGUUUUAGAAAUAUCAGCAUAAAGCUGGUGAGUUCAUAAGCGGUUGGUUUCUGGUGAAAGAAAAUGUUCCUUUGAGUUUACGAAAAGUUGUUUCCCAAGAAAAUCUCAUAUUUUCUUAUAAAAGAAGUUUGGUUAUCCAUAUGUUAAACAACUUGUUUAUGAAAAGUUACGUUAUCCCAGGAAAAACCCUUAUUUUCCUUAAAAGUUGGUGGUUGGUUAUUGAUCCGGAAUGAAGUGUACAAGUAUCUACCAUACUUAUAUCGUUAAGUGAAGUUUCCCUGAAAGUUUAGUUAUCCUUGAAAAGUACAUUAGUUUUAACACGUAUAUCAAACUAAUCAGUAGGUUGUGAACAAAUACCUAAGGGUAUUACUAAUACCCUCUAGUAAUCAAAACAAUUAUUACUUUGAGGUUAGUUCACUAGGUUCUUUAUUACUUAAAAGUAAAUCUCCAUUAUCUAAGUUGCGAGUUCUAUGACCAUACAAUAAACUGGAUACGGCUCGUAACGGGGGCCAAUAUCAUUUUAUGACUUUGUCACUUGUAGACCUGUCGGUCCCACUGUAGCUAGCAGCAAGGUGCAGGAUAGUCAGUCCCGUAUAGAUCUAUACACACAAGUCACGUUCUCCCUCCAGGAGAUUCUGGUUACAGGGUUAGUCCUACACUCUCGAUUCCGGGGAAGUGUUACCAAGGACAUUCUCCAAUCUUAAGAAUAACGAAUUUCCAAGUAAUAAUAUGGAAAGUCCCGUUUUAUGAUUGGCAUAAAUCCUUUGUAAAAUAUAAAAUAUAACAUUUUAUAAUGAGUUUCACAAAUUUCCUUGUUUUAGUUUGAAAACUAACUCUACAAGUUAAUCUCUAAAUCAGUUGGUAAAAACGGUUUUCUGUGUUAAAAGCAUACAGAACAUAUAAGUAUUUCAUACGAAAUAAUAGGUUUUGUGUACAAGUUCCCUUGUACUUUUGCUUGUAUUCCCCCCUGAAAACAUGAAAAACUCGGAAAAAGGUAGGGGUAUGAACUCACCAGACAAGGAUGUGCUGGGUAGGACGCUAGGUGUCAAUUUAGGACUUGAACGCAUGCGAGGGUCCUAUGUAAAAUGAAGUGUUACAUAAUUGUAUCUAAUUAGACAUUGAACCACUAAUUAAGUGAGAUAAUACACUCUGAUGUGUGAGAACACCUUAUUUCAAGUGUUAGGAAUGAUACGGGUUGCAUCUAAGGAGUUUAUGGCCUCGAUAAGGAGUUUACUCUUCAAGAGUAAGCCCUUAGGGGUGUUUACGGCCCAAAGACCAUAUCCCCCAUGAGCUUAUGACCGUAAACUUAUGGGUGGGGUGUUUUUGGGUGUUCAAAGGUCUCAUAUUGCAUAAGGGAAGGUUCUAGGGUUGAUUCAAGGGUUAUGGAAGUGAUCGGGACUUGAAAUGACCUUGGAAAUGGGGUUUACGGUUCUUGAAGGACCCUUGGUGAGUUUACUGCUGUAAACACAUGAUUGUACGACCGUAAACUCAUGCUUGGCCCAUUCUUGCAUGAUUUGGUACUUCAAAUGAAGGGGUACAGGGUUCUAGACAUUAAUCCAAGCCAUAAGAGGUGUUUAAGGGCUAUUUAACACCAUGAAAAGGUGUUUACGGUCCAUGAAUGUUCAUGGGCCUUAAAAUCAUGUUUACCCCCUUAAAGACAUGUUUUUGGGGUUCUAAGCUCACUCAUGCAAGUCCCUAAGUCAUAGCUAAGCAUUAGACGCGGUUUGGAAGGGUUUUGGGGCUUCAAAACCCCCUUAUGGGAGUUUACGGUUUUUGAGGGUGUUCCUCAACCGUAAACUCAUGGUUUUGAGGCUUUUGGACGAUUUAAUCACGAAUUUGCAUGGAUACUAAGCUAAACAACAAGCUAGGAAGGAUUACUUACGAUUUUGGAGCUUGAAUAGGGUAUUUUUCGAUCAAAACCUGAGUUGUAGAGAGAGAGAGAGAGAGUAGAGAGAGAGCUACAAGGGUGGGAAAAGCUCAAAUGGUGACUACUCAAUCCCUUAUAUAGGUUUUUAGUUUGUGGCCAGGUGGGGGUCCACCCAAUACCGACGUUAAACGGGGUCUAUGAUCGUACCCGAUUAAAUGGUCGUAACCCGACUUGGUCGUAACUAAAACUUUUCAAAGGAUAUCGAGGGUGUUUCACGUGUUUGUAUUUCGUUUCAACAAUUAUGAAAUUAUAAUACAAGUCUCAAUUAAUUUGUCUAACCCAAAAUGUUAACGGAAGAAUUCAAUAAAAAAUAAAUUUUAUUAACGGAAAUGGGUUACAGUGACAGAAUAAAUUUCGGGUUGUCACAUUGGUGAAGGAUCCAAUAUAGCACCCUCUAAUGGAAUCAAACCCACCACACCAAAAGCAAAAUGAUGAAAGUCAAACUAGGGUUUAUGCGAAAUUCUCCAACUCUUAAGAGAGAGAUUGAGAAUUUUAUUAUGGAGAGAGGGAGAGAGAAGGCAGAGUAUGGAUGAUUUUAGUAAGGGGAUAAAUUAGCUCCAAGGUUUACCCCUAGCAGUUUAUUUAUAGGCAGUAGAUAGAAUCCUAAAAGGAUUCAAACUUUAGAGUUAAUCCUUAGCUGUUUCAAACCUACAUUAUCCCUAUCUAGGGAUCUAUCAAAACUGUCUCAUAUAGGCUUUCCAGGAGCUUCUAAAGUAUUCCAAUUAAUCUCUAUGGUUAAUUAAUAUUCAAGCCCUUUAAUUAAUUAAAACCUUUUAAUUAAUUACCAAAAUAAUUUCCAAUUAAUUUUUUAUUUCCUUAAUUAAUUAACAACUUAUUUAUCUCCAUUUCCUCAUGUUAUUUGGCUCAUGAGGCCAACCCAAAACAAUUAAUAAUCUUGGAUACUAUUUUCUAUAGUCUCCCACUUGGAUAAGUCAUUAACUUUGAGGAUCAAAAUAGUUCACUAACAAACAACAAAGAGUAGUUAUCCAAUGCAACUGCCAGACUCUGAUUAGAAUCAAAAUUCGUUCCUUAUACAAGUGAUCAACUUAUUCCUUUGUUCUAUAUAUCUUUAUGAACAUGAGCCAUAGAUAUGGGUCAAUCUUAGUGUUUAACAUUCUGUUUCCGAUUAAUGAUUUCUGUCAUUACAUCUGACUACUAAAUAAAACACAUCAAUUUAGUUGGAGCUCAGCCAAGCACUUUAAUUGUCAACACCAAAUCAUCGAGGGGCCCAUAGAUAUUGCUUCCCAGUUACGAGAAGGAACAAAUAUGUCACACCCCCUGCCGACGACGGAAGCGUCGGGGAAGCAACAAAAUCGUUGGAUCAUGGUUAACAUACAUACAAUGAAUAGUGAAAAGACUUAAAUAAUAUUACAUAAUUCUCUUAAUCUGGUACGAAGAUUUCAUUGUUCAAAUAUUCGACCUUUUGAUAGUACAAAACAAGUUCAGCUAGAUGUAAAUCGAAAUGAAACAAAAGGGCCUAUCAGAUUGGCCAACCAUCAAAGCAAGACAAUAGGUUUCCAUGUUAUGCAACACGUGUAUUCCAGUUUUUAAGUCUACGAAGAUACAUACAUUUAAAAUAUGUCAACAAAAAUUGUUGAUGAGUUCCACAUGUUUUGACUCUAUGUACUUUUAUGACCAAAGUGUAGUUUACACAAAUGUAUUUGAAUAUCAAGUCAUAUAAAAUAUAAAGUACUCUUUCAAAGAAAAAGUAUAAAAAAUUUAAAUUCUUACACACUUGUAAUCACAUACAAGUAGAACAUUUGUUUAUGUAAAUAACCUAAUAAAUAUAAGUUUAUAAACAACAAAAAUCGUGUCAUAAGGUUAUUUAAGUAUUAUUUUAAAUAAGACAUUAACUGACACUUAUCCGUUUGAGCAAAACAUUCAUACUUCAUACAGUCUUACUUCAACUCAUAUGAGUAUCCAAGUUAUGUAUAAAUACUAUUUCAAUUUUAUACGUGUGUUUUAAAGUAAACUUUGGGUCUAUAACGAGCCUAUAAUCGAACUAUGGACACACAAAUCUUUGAAAAACAAUGCAAAGGAGGCGUGCUGAAAACAUCACCGAUGUUUCAUCAACAUCGUGAAAUAAUAAGAGACUGAAUAUGUAUGCAUGUUCCGGCUCGUUAGUCGUAGGUUGUAGCUAGCAACCGCACGUAGGAUAAUCAACAUGUAUAGAUAUAUACAAAAAAAAAAUUGUUCCUUACGGAUUAACGGUUAUAAAACAGAUGGUUUUACUAAGUUUUGUGUUUUUAGUUGAUGAAGAGUACACCUUAUAUAAGGAUUCUCGUGUUCAACCAAUCUAACAGUGUGUGUGCAUGCAUUUCAGUCGUAAACUAAUCUCGUGUUCAACUAAUCUAAUAGUGUGUGUGCAUGCAUUUCAGUCGUAAACUAAUCUCGUGUUCAACUAAUCUAAUAGUGUGUGCAUGUAUUUCAGCCGUAAACUUUGGUUAAAAGUUUAUUAGACUAUUAUUCUUUCAAAUCAUUCCAAAAAUUGUAAUCCAAGUCAUAAAAAUUAAGUUAUAAAGUUUACUAGACUUGCUAAUUAUAAUUAUAUACAAUUUUCCUGACAAAUCGAGCAGCAUAAUGACUGCAUUUUGAUCAAGAUUUCAACCAAUGUGAAAUUAACCAAAAGAGGGAUAUUAAACAUAUACACAUAAAGCAAAUAUUAUACCAUUAGUACAUGUAAAAUUUCUCUUUACGAUGCUUUGUUCCAACCCAACAUAUAACCAAUUUUCUUUGACGUAUAGUUUAUGUAGUUAGUCUAAUUCAUAUUUUUAUUAUAAUUGUGACUUAAUAUAUAAUAUAAACUAGUAAAGAGGCCUAUGCUCUGCAUGGGUUGGAAGACUUAUUUACAAAAAUACAAAAGCCAUUGUACUUUGUUUUUUGUUUUUUGUUUUUUUUUGGUUUCACUACCCAAAUUUUUUUUUUUUUUUGGUUUAAUCAAUGAGAGUUUGUUUAUCUACAAAAACAACACUAAAUAAACCUUUGAAUCUUAUAAAAACCGCACACAAAGAAAAAGAAAAAUACCAACAUAAAAUAUAUUUUUUGGAGUUUAAUAGCUAAGGAAUCAAAAAUGUAAAGACCUAUCUUUACCUUUUCAUUAUUUUGGCAGUUGCAAUAAACCGCACACAAAGAUAAACAUUAGCCAUACAAGUUCUAACCUAUCAGAUCAAAAUUGGAAAAUUGCACUCCAUUUUAAAACUAACUCGUACCCAUGUGUUAGGUAAAUGACAUCAAUUUCUUUAUAAUUUCUUGUAUUUCCCAAAAUACCCUUUUCAACGUAGAAUUUAAGAUCAUCAAGAAUAAAAUUUAGAAUCGUUUGCCAGCAUAUAUACCAUUAUAUGAGAAAGUGACAGCAGUUUACUCAAUCAAAUAUAAACAUACAUACAUUAGAGUAUGUAUCCAUCUAGGAAAAGGUAAAAAGAAGGAAAUUAAAUAAACCCAAAACUUAAUAAUUAUGCAAUACCUGGUGGUUACUUAUGCCAUAAUUACACUUCUCAAGUGGCCACCAAUCCAUAGUAGCACAAAUAAAGUCGCUGUCAAUCUUUGCAAUUGAACUUUUCCCAUUAAUGACAAGAAUACCCUCAACAACAUCAGUUACAGCUUCAGUUUGCGAAUCCACAAGAUUGCAACUGAAACUGAUCAAAAGAACCUUUAGGUUUAAAGCCACAUUCAGGUAAACCAAAUUUGUGAUUAGCCCAUUUUUAGUCACUGUUUUUUUUUUUUUUCAAUUACUUAGGACCUUUAGGCGCUUAAGUGGCAUACAACUGUCAAGAUGGCGUCUAUGUGGCUAAGGUGGUUCAUGUCAAAAUAUAUUGCAUUCUCUGUUUUACUUUAAUAAAAAAAGUAUAGGGUUAAUGCCACGUAGUAGCAUCAUAUUGUCACUUUUGUACUUGUUUUUUUUUUUUAUUUAUUUAUUAAACUUCAUUUUUAGUGCAUUUAUAACCAUUUAGAGGAAAAUGAAGGGGGCAACCGGUUGUGGAAUUUGCCCAUCACUUUGAGUAAUUUUUAAAACAUUAAUUUUUGCGAUAUAUUAAUUAGAACGAAAUAGGUACACCUUUAGCCGAAUGGAUUUAUAGUUCCAUAACAGUAAUUAUACCUUAAUUGUAUUUAUGAAUGAUCUCACAACUAACUAUUUCUAGGAAAUCCCUUAUAGCAGUCUAACGUUUUUAGGGAUAAUGAAAGCCUGAUGUCGGGCUUAACCAAAUUGGGUCCAAACAGAGUUUGGUCGAAACCAUAUAGCUGAGCAUAUAUUGACAAUUGAACUCUUUAAAUAUUAAAGUAGAACCACAAAAAAAAACUGUCAAAAUUUUGAAAGGUUCUUGUUUCCCUCACUGAGGCAUUUCAUCGAAUAGGUUAAGUGCAAGUUUGAACAAUAUAAUAAACUUGUGGAAAACAUACCGUUAGUAAGUAUGAGGCUUCCUUCACCUCCAUUUGGUUCACCUUCCCCACCACCAAAACAUAUUCACAUAUCAAAACCUGGAAAUAGAGAGAUGUGUGAAGUUAAAAUGCAUAAAUAUUUAAUUAAACAAUAAUACAUAUGCCGAAAAUGGCAAGAAAUGUAUCAGUAUAUCUUGCUGUCAAACUUACUAUGGUAUUUGGUGGUGUAACCUGGUUAGAAAAUGAGUGUGAGGAAUUUUUCAGCAAAACGAAGGUCGUGAAGACCGGCAGAAGGGCGUUUGGAGCUUCGACGGUUCCACGGUGGUGACCGAUUCUGGAGCUUGAGAAUGAGAUGAAUAUGCUCCAGUUCCGACUGGGUGGGCAUAAUAUCAGUAAGAAGGAAGGCGUGGAUGUGGAGAAGGAGGGUCGGUAAAUUGAAUGAGAUGGGUGGACAUCAGAAGUAGAUAAUGCGGUGGGUGGACAUCUAUCGGAAGAUGAAGUAGCGGUGACUCUAAAUCCAAAAUGGAUCCAACCGGACACGUUCCAUAAAGGUGGGAGAGUGGUGGAGGAUGGAGAUGAAGUCGGUGGUAGAUAUCUGUAAGUUUUUUAUUGUACAAAAAAAAAAAAGGUGGAAUCAAGAGAGACAGA